UGACACUCAGCAUAACGUCAGAAAUAGUGC
This 30-nucleotide non-coding RNA is filed under the name Homo sapiens (human). Lineage: Eukaryota; Metazoa; Chordata; Mammalia; Primates; Hominidae. The record is from RNAcentral.